GUUUACUAAUUUUGAUUUUAUAAGGUUUGUAGCAUUAUAGAAUAAACUGGGAUUUAUAAACCAGCUGUGAUUAACAAUGUAAAGUAUUAAUUAUUGAACUUGAACCAGAUUUUUAGGAAAAUUAUGUUAUUUCUUUUUCUCCUUUAUGGUCUUAACUAAUUUGAAUCCUUCAAGAAUCUUUCCAUACUAUUUUUUGAGAUAGAAGGUAAUGGGGGUGGUGUGGGGGGGGGAGAAUGCAUGUAUGGUACUCCAUAAAUUCAACAUUCUUUAAGAAAUACGUGAUUAUAAAUAAACUGCAUCCAAGCCUUGGAUUUUAUAUUUAAAAUAGGACCUAACUAUUUUGGUUAUUCAGUCAUGUGGUUCCUAGCUUACAAGGGCUAGAUCUAAGAUUAUUCUCAUGAGAAAUGUUGAAUUUAUGAAGAAUGGAUUUUGAGGCUCUGAAAAUGGUUAAUUCCUCAAAUAUAAACAUCAAUGUCCAAACAUCUACCUUUUUUCCAUAGGAGUAGACGCUAGCAAGCUGGACAAAAUAAUCAUAAGUAUUUGUCCCACCAUGACCUGUGGUCUGUGGCUGACUGAUACAAAAUUCUUCGUGUGUGAUUCUUAAUUUACCACUACAGCACAAGUAUUAUCUCAGUGGAUUAUCUGAAGUAACAUUUGAAAGAAGGGUUCAUCUGUGUUUGCUCUUUUAAAACUUUUUUUUCCCCUACCCCAAGUUGGCUUUGCAUCUAUCAGAGUAAAUAAAUUCUUCAGCUGCCUUAUUAGGAGUGCUUUGGAGGGUAACACCUUUUCUGCUUUUCAUCUUGUGUUUACUGUAUUAAAGUAUUUGAUUUCAGAUUGAAUGAAUGUAAAUAGAAAUUAAAUGCAAAUUUGAAUGAACAUAAAAGUGAUUUUUUUUAUUAUUAUCAUUAUUACCCUAAGAUAGGAAGAAAUAACUACCAGAUACACAAAUGGUUUCAAUAAUUUUUCCCAUUUAUAUGCU
Molecule: long non-coding RNA, 979 nt
Filed under: Bos taurus (domestic cattle)
Lineage: Eukaryota; Metazoa; Chordata; Mammalia; Artiodactyla; Bovidae
Description: long non-coding RNA NONBTAT009719
Source: RNAcentral